AAUCCCAGGUGGUCCAUUGGUCUGAACCAAAGAUGUAUAUGGUUAAAAGAAAUAAUUUCCAGAAUGGGAAACAAAAUAAAUUCAAAGGGGGAAAAAGAAUGAAAUUUACAGCGACACUACCAUGCCAUGAGAAAAUCAAACCAUUUCAAUCAAAUUUUUUACUUACAGUUCUUCUAUUUUAACAAGGGCAAUAAUUAGAUAUCAUCAAUUCUUAAGAUAUAAAAUCACAAUCACUUGACUUUGGAAAAUAAAAAGACACAUUUGCCAUAAACAUUUCACAGAAACAGUCUUUCACACCUGUGAGUGAUAGGUCGUAUGUGA
Molecule: unclassified non-coding RNA, 321 nt
Filed under: Hevea brasiliensis (rubber tree)
Lineage: Eukaryota; Viridiplantae; Streptophyta; Magnoliopsida; Malpighiales; Euphorbiaceae
Source: RNAcentral